RNAcentral lists this ribosomal RNA (500 nucleotides) under uncultured Aeribacillus sp. RNAcentral's name for it is "bacterial SSU rRNA". It matches the Rfam family "Bacterial small subunit ribosomal RNA", at positions 390 to 880 of the family's 1533-position model. The record is from RNAcentral. Lineage: Bacteria; Bacillati; Bacillota; Bacilli; Caryophanales; Bacillaceae.
AGCAACGCCGCGUGAGCGAAGAAGGUCUUCGGAUCGUAAAGCUCUGUUGUCAGGGAAGAACAAGUGCCGUUCGAACAGGGCGGUACCUUGACGGUACCUGACGAGGAAGCCACGGCUAACUACGUGCCAGCAGCCGCGGUAAUACGUAGGUGGCAAGCGUUGUCCGGAAUUAUUGGGCGUAAAGCGCGCGCAGGCGGUUCCUUAAGUCUGAUGUGAAAUCUCGCGGCUCAACCGCGAGCGGCCAUUGGAAACUGGGGAACUUGAGUGCAGGAGAGGGGAGCGGAAUUCCACGUGUAGCGGUGAAAUGCGUAGAGAUGUGGAGGAACACCAGUGGCGAAGGCGGCUCUCUGGCCUGUAACUGACGCUGAGGCGCGAAAGCGUGGGGAGCGAACAGGAUUAGAUACCCUGGUAGUCCACGCCGUAAACGAUGAGUGCUAAGUGUUAGAGGGUAUCCACCCUUUAGUGCUGCAGCAAACGCAUUAAGCACUCCGCCUGGGGAG